GUGCCAGCAGCCGCGGUAAUACGAGAGGCCCAAACGUUAUUCGGAUUUACUGGGCUUAAAGAGUUCGUAGGCGGCUUGGAAAGUGGGGUGUGAAAGCCCUCGGCUCAACCGAGGAAUUGCGCUCCAAACUGCCGAGCUUGAGGAAGCUAGAGGUGAGCAGAACUGAUGGUGGAGCGGUGAAAUGCGUUGAUAUCAUCAGGAAUACCGGAGGCGAAGGCGGCUCACUGGGACUUUUCUGACGCUGAGGAACGAAAGCUAGGGGAGCAAACGGGAUUAGAUACCCCCGUAGUCC
Molecule: ribosomal RNA, 292 nt
Filed under: uncultured bacterium
Lineage: Bacteria
Description: partial 16S ribosomal RNA
Rfam family: Bacterial small subunit ribosomal RNA
Source: RNAcentral